UUCACGUCACUGCAGGCCUUCAAACAAUGAGAUUUGAGCCUAAACAGUGACACAUGAAAGGCAGUCGCGUUUUAAUCAGUAGAGAUGAAAGAGCAAACCAUGUACCGUAGUUUUGAUUUAUUUAUUUUUAGCACAACACCAGAACAACCCCACGUGCCCAUAAUUUGCGGUACUUCAGAAAAAAAGGAGUGAACAUAAAAGGGAGUAAAAUGUUGUGGCAGGAAGAGAAAAGAAUGAGAGCUAACUUCACUCAGAGAUAUAGAAAGAAAGAGAAAGAAACCAGGCUGUAUUUAAAGACGUCUUGAAAACAAGUUUUAACAAAGUCCUGGAGAAGUGCCCAAUGCUGGAGGACCUCCUGCUUUACCCCUGGCUCAGAUAAACUCCUCUCUGACACAAACACACACGCAUACUGAAUUCACAUCUUGCCAUACAAAUGUGAUACAGUAACCAACUUUCUUUCUUUCAGAAAAAAAAGAAAAUUGGGAGAUUCAAAAUUUUUCUCACAGUAAUGUUUGCAUCAGUCUAUCAGAUGAAUCCCCUCCAAGUCCAAUAUUUACAUCAGUUACAGUGAUAAUGCUUGGUGUCUACUUUCAGCCACCGCAGUAGAAUGCCAGGAAUGAA
This is a long non-coding RNA of Oreochromis aureus, 621 nucleotides long. RefSeq lists it as uncharacterized. Lineage: Eukaryota; Metazoa; Chordata; Actinopteri; Cichliformes; Cichlidae. The transcript has 3 exons. The record is from RefSeq and is a predicted model, not a curated record.